AUUGAACGCUGGCGGCAGGCCUAACACAUGCAAGUCGAGCGGAUGAAGGGAGCUUGCUCCUGGAUUCAGCGGCGGACGGGUGGGUAAUGCCUAGGAAUCUGCCUGGUAGUGGGGAAUAACGUCCGGAAACGGGCGCUAAUACCGCAUACGUCCUGAGGGAGAAAGUGGGGGAUCUUCGGACCUCACGCUAUCAGAUGAGCCUAGGUCGGAUUAGCUAGUUGGUGGGGUAAAGGCCUACCAAGGCGACGAUCCGUAACUGGUCUGAGAGGAUGAUCAGUCACACUGGAACUGAGACACGGUCCAGACUCCUACGGGAGGCAGCAGUGGGGAAUAUUGGACAAUGGGCGAAAGCCUGAUCCAGCCAUGCCGCGUGUGUGAAGAAGGUCUUCGGAUUGUAAAGCACUUUAAGUUGGGAGGAAGGGCAGUAAGUUAAUACCUUGCUGUUUUGACGUUACCAACAGAAUAAGCACCGGCUAACUUCGUG
RNAcentral lists this ribosomal RNA (484 nucleotides) under uncultured bacterium. Its description in RNAcentral is "partial 16S ribosomal RNA". It matches the Rfam family "Bacterial small subunit ribosomal RNA", at positions 30 to 507 of the family's 1533-position model. The record is from RNAcentral.